Molecule: ribosomal RNA, 2130 nt
Filed under: Salmonella enterica subsp. enterica serovar Enteritidis
Lineage: Bacteria; Pseudomonadati; Pseudomonadota; Gammaproteobacteria; Enterobacterales; Enterobacteriaceae
Description: partial 23S ribosomal RNA
Rfam family: Bacterial large subunit ribosomal RNA
Source: RNAcentral
CGUUAAGUUGCAGGGUAUAGACCCGAAACCCGGUGAUCUAGCCAUGGGCAGGUUGAAGGUUGGGUAACACUAACUGGAGGACCGAACCGACUAAUGUUGAAAAAUUAGCGGAUGACCUGUGGCUGGGGGUGAAAGGCCAAUCAAACCGGGAGAUAGCUGGUUCUCCCCGAAAGCUAUUUAGGUAGCGCCUCGUGAAUUCAUCUCCGGGGGUAGAGCACUGUUUCGGCUAGGGGGCCAUCCCGGCUUACCAACCCGAUGCAAACUGCGAAUACCGGAGAAUGUUAUCACGGGAGACACACGGCGGGUGCUAACGUCCGUCGUGAAGAGGGAAACAACCCAGACCGCCAGCUAAGGUCCCAAAGUCAUGGUUAAGUGGGAAACGAUGUGGGAAGGCCCAGACAGCCAGGAUGUUGGCUUAGAAGCAGCCAUCAUUUAAAGAAAGCGUAAUAGCUCACUGGUCGAGUCGGCCUGCGCGGAAGAUGUAACGGGGCUAAACCAUGCACCGAAGCUGCGGCAGCGACGCUUAUGCGUUGUUGGGUAGGGGAGCGUUCUGUAAGCCUGCGAAGGUGGCCUGUGAGGGUUGCUGGAGGUAUCAGAAGUGCGAAUGCUGACAUAAGUAACGAUAAAGCGGGUGAAAAGCCCGCUCGCCGGAAGACCAAGGGUUCCUGUCCAACGUUAAUCGGGGCAGGGUGAGUCGACCCCUAAGGCGAGGCCGAAAGGCGUAGUCGAUGGGAAACGGGUUAAUAUUCCCGUACUUGGUGUUACUGCGAAGGGGGGACGGAGAAGGCUAUGUUGGCCGGGCGACGGUUGUCCCGGUUUAAGCGUGUAGGUGUGUGUUCCAGGUAAAUCCGGUUCACUUUAACACUGAGGCGUGACGACGAGGCACUACGGUGCUGAAGCAACAAAUGCCCUGCUUCCAGGAAAAGCCUCUAAGCAUCAGGUAACAUCAAAUCGUACCCCAAACCGACACAGGUGGUCAGGUAGAGAAUACCAAGGCGCUUGAGAGAACUCGGGUGAAGGAACUAGGCAAAAUGGUGCCGUAACUUCGGGAGAAGGCACGCUGACACGUAGGUGAAGUGAUUUACUCAUGGAGCUGAAGUCAGUCGAAGAUACCAGCUGGCUGCAACUGUUUAUUAAAAACACAGCACUGUGCAAACACGAAAGUGGACGUAUACGGUGUGACGCCUGCCCGGUGCCGGAAGGUUAAUUGAUGGGGUCAGCGCAAGCGAAGCUCCUGAUCGAAGCCCCGGUAAACGGCGGCCGUAACUAUAACGGUCCUAAGGUAGCGAAAUUCCUUGUCGGGUAAGUUCCGACCUGCACGAAUGGCGUAAUGAUGGCCAGGCUGUCUCCACCCGAGACUCAGUGAAAUUGAACUCGCUGUGAAGAUGCAGUGUACCCGCGGCAAGACGGAAAGACCCCGUGAACCUUUACUAUAGCUUGACACUGAACAUUGAGCCUUGAUGUGUAGGAUAGGUGGGAGGCUUUGAAGUGUGGACGCCAGUCUGCAUGGAGCCGACCUUGAAAUACCACCCUUUAAUGUUUGAUGUUCUAACGUGGACCCGUUACCCGGGUUGCGGACAGUGUCUGGUGGGUAGUUUGACUGGGGCGGUCUCCUCCUAAAGAGUAACGGAGGAGCACGAAGGUUGGCUAAUCCUGGUCGGACAUCAGGAGGUUAGUGCAAUGGCAUAAGCCAGCUUGACUGCGAGCGUGACGGCGCGAGCAGGUGCGAAAGCAGGUCAUAGUGAUCCGGUGGUUCUGAAUGGAAGGGCCAUCGCUCAACGGAUAAAAGGUACUCCGGGGAUAACAGGCUGAUACCGCCCAAGAGUUCAUAUCGACGGCGGUGUUUGGCACCUCGAUGUCGGCUCAUCACAUCCUGGGGCUGAAGUAGGUCCCAAGGGUAUGGCUGUUCGCCAUUUAAAGUGGUACGCGAGCUGGGUUUAGAACGUCGUGAGACAGUUCGGUCCCUAUCUGCCGUGGGCGCUGGAGAACUGAGGGGGGCUGCUCCUAGUACGAGAGGACCGGAGUGGACGCAUCACUGGUGUUCGGGUUGUCAUGCCAAUGGCACUGCCCGGUAGCUAAAUGCGGAAGAGAUAAGUGCUGAAAGCAUCUAAGCACGAAACUUGCCCCGAG